CCCACUUCCUCAACGCUAUUUCCUGGGAGGAGUCGUAGCUCAAGUCCCGGAGCCAAGACAUUCCCAGACCCAUGGCUUACGAGUACUCGGCUUGGGGGCGGCUGGUUCCUGAGCGCGUGCCAGGAUCGUUCCACCACGCGUAAUGGACCCGGGACUACACCAAGCCUGGGACGACCUCUAAGGCUGUCCGCGGCGGGACUUAUACGUCGGCUCGUUGGUCUAGGGGUAUGAUUCUCGCUUCGGGUGCGAGAGGUCCCGGGUUCAAAUCCCGGACGAGCCCUUCUUUGCGUUUUGCUGAAACGGGAGUGUCUUCGGGGUGUGUGUUACCUAACCAGCGCUGUGGACGGCUUAACUGGAAGUCAUUAGUGUGCAGUAAGAUCUUUUGUGGCACCGGGGUAGCAAAAAGAAUCUUGGUCCCCAGACUCGCUUGGCAUGUGAGGAAGAGAGGAGGCACGCCCAGACUUGUGCAGGACGCUUUCUGUUUCCUGACUUCUUGCUUGGUGCCUCGACUCGGCCACCACAACCUGGUUUCGGUUUGAUUGACACCCAUCAACCUAUAGUUGUGGAUGACAGGUGGUAGAAUGACCCAGGUCGAAUCUAUUCGGGUGUGUUGGAGAGAGCCCAGGAACUGUCAGAACUUGGUUCUCUGGAGCCCCGGAGGCAUUCUGUCUCUUUCGGUCACUCCAUCUGACGAUUGGUGCGUGAAAUACACAUACAAUUUCUCCGUGGUGGGAAAAAAGAACCCCUAGGAAGUCUACUGUCAGCAUGCCCAGUGUAGAGUCCCAGAUCAAGGAUUUGGCAAUAUCGCUGUAUGGCUUAUUCCUCGUUAGUAUAGUGAGGAUGAAUUUAAUUCCUGUAUACGUGCGCCCACAUCCCGCCCGCUGGUGCCUCGGAGAAAAGCACUAACAAAUCUUAAAGGUGGGGCCUCAAGGGAAAACUCCCCCGCUUAUUGCUGACAGUGGAUCUGUUCAAGAGACCCCUCAAAGCGGGUAAUCGGGCAGGCCUCGUGGCGCAACGGUAGCGCGUCUGACUCCAGAUCAGAAGGUUGCGUGUUCAAAUCACGUCGGGGUCAAGCCAGCCGCUGUUUUCCCUAAACAGGCUUACGAUGACAUUUUUCGGGAUAGCAGAAAUAGCCUUCUCCGUCAAAGGAUACGAGGGGGAUGAGACAAAGAUGUACAUUAUUCUAAAGUUGGCUACAACAAAAAGCCUAGACUUUCAA
Cebus imitator (Panamanian white-faced capuchin) is the source of this 1219-nucleotide long non-coding RNA. RefSeq lists it as uncharacterized. The record is from RefSeq and is a predicted model, not a curated record. The transcript has 2 exons. NCBI's taxonomy places the organism in Eukaryota, Metazoa, Chordata, Mammalia, Primates, Cebidae.